This 775-nucleotide ribosomal RNA is filed under the name uncultured Neocallimastigales. RNAcentral's name for it is "partial large subunit ribosomal RNA". It matches the Rfam family "Eukaryotic large subunit ribosomal RNA", at positions 25 to 614 of the family's 3401-position model. Lineage: Eukaryota; Fungi; Neocallimastigomycota; Neocallimastigomycetes; Neocallimastigales. The record is from RNAcentral.
CCGCAUCUGUGCAUGCAGCAUAUCAAUAAGCGGAGGAAAAGAAACUAACAAGGAUUCCCCUAGUAACGGCGAGUGAAGCGGGAAGAGCUCAAAUUUGAAAUCUUAAAGGGUUUCCCUUUACGAAUUGUAGUUUAAAGAAGUGUUUUCUGUUGAGGUUUUGGUAAAAGUUCUUUGGAAUAGGACAUCAUAGAGGGUGAGAAUCCCGUAUUUGACCUUUACUUUCAACUUUGUGAUACACUUUCAAAGAGUCGGAUUGUUUGGGAAUGCAGUCCAAAAUGGGUGGUAAAUUUCAUCUAAAGCUAAAUAUUGGCGAGAGACCGAUAGCGAACAAGUACCGUGAGGGAAAGAUGAAAAGAACUUUGAAAAGAGAGUUAAACAGUACGUGAAAUUGUCAAAAGGGAAGCGUUUGACACCAGUGUUGUUUUUCUGAAAAUCAAUUAAAGAACUGUUUAUGCUAAGCUGUUUAGACUUUAUCAGCUAUCUGCUUAGUUUUGAGCUUUUCUUUAAUGCACUUUUCAGUUAACAAGUCAACAUCAAUUUCUUUUGCUGUAAAAAAGCUUGAGGAAGGUGGCUUGAGAUUCGUCUUAAGUGUUUAUAGCCUCUUGCCUAUGCAGUCGGAGAGAUUGAGGUCUGCAGCGUAGAUCCUUCGGGGCUAAAUGCAUUUGUGCUAAGUUAUAGCAUUUUAUAGACAACUUGUUGACUAUGAUUUGUCUUGUAGCUUACUCGCUUAUGUUAUUUUACCUACGCUUAGGAUGUUGAGUCAUCACACAUCUCU